RNAcentral lists this ribosomal RNA (391 nucleotides) under uncultured bacterium. Its description in RNAcentral is "bacterial SSU rRNA". It matches the Rfam family "Bacterial small subunit ribosomal RNA", at positions 32 to 416 of the family's 1533-position model. The record is from RNAcentral.
AAUCAACGCUGGCGGCGUGCCUCAGACAUGCAAGUCGAACGAUUAAGACUCUCUUCGGAGAGUGUAUAAAGUGGCGCACGGGUGAGUAACACGUAGGUAAUGUACCGAAGGGUGGGGAAUAACUUAGGGAAACUUAAGCUAAUACCGCAUAAUGCAGCGGCUCGACAUCGAGACAGUUGUUAAAGGAGCAAUCCGCCUUUUGAGCAGCCUGCGGCAGAUUAGCUAGUUGGUAAGGUAAUGGCUUACCAAGGCUACGAUCUGUAACCGACCUGAGAGGGUGGUCGGUCACACUGACACUGAAUAACGGGUCAGACUCCUACGGAGCAGCAGUCGGAAUUUUGGGCAAUGGGCGAAAGCCUGACCCAGCAACGCCGCGUGAAGGAUAGAAGUA